RNAcentral lists this ribosomal RNA (737 nucleotides) under Streptomyces sp. Its description in RNAcentral is "bacterial SSU rRNA". It matches the Rfam family "Bacterial small subunit ribosomal RNA", at positions 88 to 837 of the family's 1533-position model. Lineage: Bacteria; Bacillati; Actinomycetota; Actinomycetes; Kitasatosporales; Streptomycetaceae. The record is from RNAcentral.
UGGAUUAGUGGCGAACGGGUGAGUAACACGUGGGCAAUCUGCCCUUCACUCUGGGACAAGCCCUGGAAACGGGGUCUAAUACCGGAUAACACUCUGUCCUGCAUGGGACGGGGUUAAAAGCUCCGGCGGUGAAGGAUGAGCCCGCGGCCUAUCAGCUUGUUGGUGGGGUAAUGGCCUACCAAGGCGACGACGGGUAGCCGGCCUGAGAGGGCGACCGGCCACACUGGGACUGAGACACGGCCCAGACUCCUACGGGAGGCAGCAGUGGGGAAUAUUGCACAAUGGGCGAAAGCCUGAUGCAGCGACGCCGCGUGAGGGAUGACGGCCUUCGGGUUGUAAACCUCUUUCAGCAGGGAAGAAGCGAAAGUGACGGUACCUGCAGAAGAAGCGCCGGCUAACUACGUGCCAGCAGCCGCGGUAAUACGUAGGGCGCAAGCGUUGUCCGGAAUUAUUGGGCGUAAAGAGCUCGUAGGCGGCUUGUCACGUCGGAUGUGAAAGCCCGGGGCUUAACCCCGGGUCUGCAUUCGAUACGGGCUAGCUAGAGUGUGGUAGGGGAGAUCGGAAUUCCUGGUGUAGCGGUGAAAUGCGCAGAUAUCAGGAGGAACACCGGUGGCGAAGGCGGAUCUCUGGGCCAUUACUGACGCUGAGGAGCGAAAGCGUGGGGAGCGAACAGGAUUAGAUACCCUGGUAGUCCACGCCGUAAACGUUGGGAACUAGGUGUUGGCGACAUUCCACGU